Molecule: unclassified non-coding RNA, 213 nt
Filed under: plant metagenome
Description: partial contains small subunit ribosomal RNA, internal transcribed spacer 1, and 5.8S ribosomal RNA
Source: RNAcentral
UUUCCGUAGGUGAACCUGCGGAAGGAUCACUCAUAAUAAGUGUUUUAUGGCACUUUUUUAAAUCCAUAUCCACCUUGUGUGCAAUGUCAGGGUUGACUUUUCUCUCGAGAGGAUCAACCCCAAACAUCAACUAUAUCUCAACUCUUUGUCUGAAAAAUAUUAUGAAUAAAACAAUUCAAAAUACAACUUUCAACAACGGAUCUCUUGGCUCUC